GAUCUUGGCACUGACUGAGCAGAUGGCGGGUGAGUUCUGCCACCAAAUUGAGAACUGCCUGGACCUGGGGUGGACAGCCGGUGCCACCUCUAAGGUAAGGAAGGCAUUUUGGAUAACCGGGAAGUGCCAUAGGCCUCUAGUAGGGAGCAUGGGGCCACCUCCUCUUCCAAACUGAAAGCAACUUCAUUCACAGUGUCUGAAGAGCAGCUCUGAUACCUACAAGGGCCAGGGAUGAGCAGCAGCCCUGAUACCCAGGGAUGUUGGGUCCUAACUCAAGCUCAGCUUUCUCUGGGAACACAAGACAUAGGACAUGGAAGCCAGAGCUCCUGUCCAGUUCAAAGAGCACCUGACAAAGAGCCACACCCCAGUCCCCGCAAGUGCAUUUUCCAAGCUCAGUGGCAGAGGUGGGAUUGUCUGCGGCUAUUAUGAAGGCUGGAGUGGAGUAUAAAUUUUAUGUAGCACUCACUAUAGCCCUACUGCCUGGGCACACUGCUUGAAUGCAUGUAUUCUUUGUAUACUUUUGUGAGAUCCCCAAGUCCCCUUGGCGAUGAGUGAUGGAGGUUGACUUUGAACCCUCACAGUCCAGUUUCUUCAGUACCAGGCUAUGUAGUAAGGGUCAGUACAUAUUUGAUACAGCUAAUACUUUUUCUGAGGCUAAGGUAUGGCUUGGUGGUGCCAUAAUGUACAAUAUGUAUGAGGUCCCUGGUUCAGGACCCAGCAUCAGAAGUGUUUUUUUCCUAAAUUGGUUAAAAAAAAAAAAAAAAAAAAGCAGGUC
Molecule: long non-coding RNA, 775 nt
Filed under: Rattus norvegicus (Norway rat)
Lineage: Eukaryota; Metazoa; Chordata; Mammalia; Rodentia; Muridae
Description: long non-coding RNA NONRATT001738
Source: RNAcentral